Molecule: ribosomal RNA, 530 nt
Filed under: uncultured bacterium
Lineage: Bacteria
Description: partial 16S ribosomal RNA
Rfam family: Bacterial small subunit ribosomal RNA
Source: RNAcentral
UGGGGAAUAUUGCACAAUGGGCGGAAGCCUGAUGCAGCAACGCCGCGUGAGGGAUGACGGCCUUCGGGUUGUAAACCUCUUUUAGCAGGGAAGAAGCGAGAGUGACGGUACCUGCAGAAAAAGCGCCGGCUAACUACGUGCCAGCAGCCGCGGUAAUACGUAGGGCGCAAGCGUUAUCCGGAAUUAUUGGGCGUAAAGAGCUCGUAGGCGGUUUGUCGCGUCUGCUGUGAAAUCCCGAGGCUCAACCUCGGGCCUGCAGUGGGUACGGGCAGACUAGAGUGCGGUAGGGGAGAUUGGAAUUCCUGGUGUAGCGGUGGAAUGCGCAGAUAUCAGGAGGAACACCGAUGGCGAAGGCAGAUCUCUGGGCCGUAACUGACGCUGAGGAGCGAAAGGGUGGGGAGCAAACAGGCUUAGAUACCCUGGUAGUCCACCCCGUAAACGUUGGGAACUAGUUGUGGGGACCAUUCCACGGUUUCCGUGACGCAGCUAACGCAUUAAGUUCCCCGCCUGGGGAGUACGGCCGCAAGGCU